CUCCCCGCGAGGCCCGACCUUUGUUCCCGACCUGCCCGGCCGCGCCGUCCCGGGUGCGUCCCGCGUGCCUGCCCCGCCUCUCUCCUCACAUUUUCCGGUCGCCGUGGCCCCUUUUCGGAGCCGGGAGUGCGGAGGCGGUUUCCUCGCGUGUCUGUGGCUGGGGGCCGCCCCUCGCGCCCCCCGGGUUCGGCGCGCACCUACUCUGCGGCUCGGCCGCCGCGCCUGAGUUCGGCGAAAGCCUUUCCAGGGCAAGUCUGUCCGUGACCCUCUCGGAGAGUCGCAGUUUCUAAAUCUCUCGAAGUAACGCGGCUUUAGCCAGGAGGUCCCAAGCGUUAGGAUUAAAAAUAAAGAUAAAAGGGGAAUGGGGGGCUGGGGGAGGUGGACCUUGUGUUUGCACCUAGGUGAAACCUUCCUCUGCAGGCGGCGGUGUUUGCUUAGGGUCUCCCGCACCACCUGGAUUGCCCGGAGAGCGAUGUAUGAGCUUGCAAAUUUACACACAGACACACACACACAGAAACUCCUCACAUACUACAUGUGACAGGUGACUUCUGACACAGUGUCCGAGUGACCAUGCCAGGUCAUUCAUAUGAGGAAAGCUUAGUAGUGGGGAUCGAACUUGGGUCCUUGUGCUUGAGCAGCAGCAGCAGCACCAGAAAAAGAAGAAGAAGAGGAGGAGGAGGAGGAGGAGCAAGAAGAAGAAGAGGAGGAGAAGAAGAAGAGGAAGAAGAAAGAAGAGGAGGAGGAAGCAGAAGAAGCAACUUUUCAAUUGUGGGCAGAAAUCCCAAGACCAAACUGGUUGUUUCUUCUAGAAAGAUGACUCUUUAAGUUAUUAUCAUUCUCCUUCCAGGGUGCUGUUCAGGGACAGGCCUGGCAAAAUAAAACUGCUACUGGAGAGAUUGUGCCUCUGUUUACUAGGGGUCAUUUUGGUUUGGUGGGGGUUUUUUGGCACUGGAGAUGGGACUUGGGACCCUGUGCUCGCGAGGCAGGCAGCGGAACCACUGAGCUAAAUCCCUGGCCCUGGUUGUUUUGUUUUUGAAACAGAGUCUGGCUGAGUUAUCCAGGCUAGCUUGGAGCUCUCUACACUCCUUUCUCAGCCUCCUGAGUAGCUGGGGUUACUGGCACAUAACACUAUACCUGGC
RNAcentral lists this long non-coding RNA (1139 nucleotides) under Heterocephalus glaber (naked mole-rat). RNAcentral's name for it is "lncRNA (ENSHGLG00000030576.2)". The record is from RNAcentral. Lineage: Eukaryota; Metazoa; Chordata; Mammalia; Rodentia; Bathyergidae.